RNAcentral lists this ribosomal RNA (377 nucleotides) under uncultured bacterium. RNAcentral describes it as "bacterial SSU rRNA". It matches the Rfam family "Bacterial small subunit ribosomal RNA", at positions 30 to 409 of the family's 1533-position model. The record is from RNAcentral.
AUUGAACGCUGGCGGAAUGCUUUACACAUGCAAGUCGAACGGCAGCACGGGGCAACCUGGUGGCGAGUGGCGAACGGGUGAGUAAUACAUCGGAACGUGCCCAAUCGUGGGGGAUAACGUAGCGAAAGUUACGCUAAUACCGCAUACGAUCUACGGAUGAAAGCGGGGGAUCGCAAGACCUCGCGCGAAUGGAGCGGCCGAUGUCAGAUUAGGUAGUUGGUGGGGUAAAGGCUCACCAAGCCAACGAUCUGUAGCUGGUCUGAGAGGACGACCAGCCACACUGGAACUGAGACACGGUCCAGACUCCUACGGGAGGCAGCAGUGGGGAAUUUUGGACAAUGGGCGCAAGCCUGAUCCAGCCAUUCCGCGUGCAGGAU